CGGUUUCAUGGAUUUCCUGACAGAUAAGAUAGUAUUUAUGAGUUGCCUUAGCAUUCCUACAUUUGAAGCAGUAUGAAGUAUGAUUGGCAGCAACCCAAUUUCAUUAUUCUUAGAUGAGUCAGUAAGUGUGGAAAGAGAAAUGAAAUGGGCAGCCAAUCAACACAGAAAAAAAAAAUCCGAUAUUCUGAGGCCAAGAAAGUAUUUAUAUGCUGAUGACUCAACUUUUGCAGCAGUGUCUGCAGCAAGAACAGGAAAUAUACUAUUGAACCCUCUUACAACAAGAACUUUGAUGUGAAAGGCCGGAAUAGCUCAUUCUGCCUGCUGUGAUUCAGAAAGCCGGAGCUGUAAUCCUGGAUCUCUGCAGAAUGCACUCACAAGAGCUUCAGAGCUCACUAAAGGACAUCAGAAAUGGGUCCUGCAGGACACAUGUCUCUGCAAGUGGAAGUUUGGAUGAAGAUUCAGAAAGGUGACAAGGCAUGAACAAUCCUACAAUAUGAUGUGGUCAAGUGCUGGAAGAACUGGGCACACAGUCCAAUCCCUGGCUCACCAACACGCUUCACAGGAUGUGCGGAGACCCUCUCAUGACAAAAUGGCUUGAAUAAAGUAAUUAGGAAUUUCCAUUGUGUAAAAUGCAAUUACCCCAACUAACAGUGUUAUAAUUGUUUUACUGAACCAACACAAAACGAAGACAUUCCCAGGUAGUUCUCUAAGCAUUAUAUAAAAUCUACAGACUGCAUUAAAUCCAUCUUUUAACAGAACUCUACACCCGAACAACAUUUUCCUAUUCAGUUAUAGAAAGCCAACACCUUCAGAACUAUUUCUAUGUAAAAAAAUAAUUCUUCUUGUAUUAAUAAAGCCUAAUAACUUGUUGAGAAGUUGAGAUAUGCAAGAUGGCAGGCAAAAAUUGUUUCAGACAUGACAACAAAAUAAAUAGCAACAAAUAACAAA
Non-coding RNA from Taeniopygia guttata (zebra finch), 948 nucleotides. NCBI's taxonomy places the organism in Eukaryota, Metazoa, Chordata, Aves, Passeriformes, Estrildidae. The record is from RefSeq and is a predicted model, not a curated record.